CUCAACACACGGCAUUCCUGCUGUACACAAAUAAGACUCUUGGAGAACAAGCCAGACCCAGUCCCCACUCCCAGAGUCUUCAGUUUGUGUUUGCAGGCUAUAUGAGACGGAGCAAGACAAGUGCACCCACGGUCGGCUAAGAUGGACAGAGGAGAGAAGACUCGGUGCUCUAAAAAUUGAAAACCAGGAAAGGCAUAAUGGUUUGCUGUGAACAGCGUCACUGCCUAUUAGGACAAAAAGCCACUCAGAAAAACAGGCUUUCUAUCAUUGACCCCGAAGAGAGCAGAAGCUGCCAGAGCUGACCUUUCCGUAACUUGUUCAAAUCCACGGUGGAAAUAGUAUUACUCCGGGAUGGCGGCAUGCCUGCUGUAGGGAUACAGUAACUGCUGUCGGUGUCUGAGGCUGUGCGUGGGACGCCACACGUUUCCACAGGAGACCGGUCAUGAGUUGGAUGUGGCUUUGGUGGUCGAGGUGGGGGAAUAUCAGGAAUGGUGUCCAGCUUGGAUGACUGUCCCAAGGUGCCUUCUGGAAAUGUCCGUGGAAUCUGGUAAAAUUCCAUUAUAACAAACAAGACAAAACCAUCUGUGGAAUGUUCAUGAACUCCUCCCACUAUCCUUGGGAAUGGUUAACAGAAACCAUUUCUGGAGGUUUUAAGCUCUACAUUUUUUGUUUGUUUGUUUGUUUGUUUGCUUUUCAAGACAGGGU
Long non-coding RNA from Onychomys torridus (southern grasshopper mouse), 705 nucleotides. RefSeq lists it as uncharacterized. Lineage: Eukaryota; Metazoa; Chordata; Mammalia; Rodentia; Cricetidae. The record is from RefSeq and is a predicted model, not a curated record. The transcript is spliced from 3 exons.